CCUACGGGAGGCAGCAGUGGGGAAUAUUGCACAAUGGGGGAAACCCUGAUGCAGCGACGCCGCGUGAGUGAAGAAGUAUUUCGGUAUGUAAAGCUCUAUCAUCAGGGAAGAAAAUGACGGUACCUUACUAAUAAGCCCCGGCUAACUACGUGCCAGCAGCCGCGGUAAUACGUAGGGUGCAAGCGUUAUCCGGAUUUACUGGGUGUAAAGGGAUCGUAGAAGGAUAAUCAAGUCAGAAGUGAAAACCCGGGGCUAAACCUUGGGACUGCUAUUGAUACUGAGUAGCUAGAGUGCAGGAGGGGUAAGCGGAAUUCCUAGUGUAGCGGUGAAAUGCGUAGAUAUUAGGAGGAACACCAGUGGCGAAGGCGGCUUACUGGACUGUAACUGACGUUGAGGCUCGAAAGCGUGGGGAGCAAACAGGAUUAGAUACCCCAGUAGUC
RNAcentral lists this ribosomal RNA (440 nucleotides) under uncultured bacterium. RNAcentral's name for it is "partial 16S ribosomal RNA". It matches the Rfam family "Bacterial small subunit ribosomal RNA", at positions 338 to 795 of the family's 1533-position model. The record is from RNAcentral.